UACAGAGGGUGCAAGCGUUAAUCGGAAUUACUGGGGGUAAAGCGUGCGUAGACGGUUACAUAAGUCAGAUGUGAAAGCCCCGGGCUCAACCUGGGAAUUGCAUUUGAGACUGUGUAGCUAGGGUGCGGAAGAGGGAAGCGGAAUUUCCGGUGUAGCGGUGAAAUGCGUAGAUAUCGGAAGGAACACCAGUGGCGAAAGCGGCUUCCUGGUCCAGCACCGACGUUCAGGCACGAAAGCGUGGGGAGCAAACAGG
Molecule: ribosomal RNA, 253 nt
Filed under: uncultured bacterium
Lineage: Bacteria
Description: partial 16S ribosomal RNA
Rfam family: Bacterial small subunit ribosomal RNA
Source: RNAcentral